This 446-nucleotide ribosomal RNA is filed under the name uncultured bacterium. Its description in RNAcentral is "partial 16S ribosomal RNA". It matches the Rfam family "Bacterial small subunit ribosomal RNA", at positions 338 to 795 of the family's 1533-position model. The record is from RNAcentral.
CCUACGGGAGGCAGCAGUCGAGAAUCAUUCACAAUGGGGGAAACCCUGGUGGUGCGACGCCGCGUGGGGGAAUGAAGGUCUUCGGAUUGUAAACCCCUGUCAUGUGGGAGCAAAUUAAAAAGAUAGUACCACAAGAGGAAGAGACGGCUAACUCUGUGCCAGCAGCCGCGGUAAUACAGAGGUCUCAAGCGUUGUUCGGAAUCACUGGGCGUAAAGCGUGCGUAGGCUGUUUCGUAAGUCGUGUGUGAAAGGCGCGGGCUCAACCCGCGGACGGCACAUGAUACUGCGAGACUAGAGUAAUGGAGGGGGAACCGGAAUUCUCGGUGUAGCAGUGAAAUGCGUAGAUAUCGAGAGGAACACUCGUGGCGAAGGCGGGUUCCUGGACAUUAACUGACGCUGAGGCACGAAGGCCAGGGGAGCGAAAGGGAUUAGAUACCCGAGUAGUC